Molecule: long non-coding RNA, 1635 nt
Organism: Mus musculus (house mouse)
Lineage: Eukaryota; Metazoa; Chordata; Mammalia; Rodentia; Muridae
Product: predicted gene, 41507
Exons: 2
Source: RefSeq, a predicted model, not a curated record
UUUAGCCAACAUUGGCUAUGAGAGGGAGUGCCUCAGACAGCCUACGCUGGAUCCGCGCCGCGCUCACGCACGCGCACAUGGUGUGUGUGUGUGUGUGUGUGUGUGUGUGUGUGUGUGUGUGUGUGUGUGUGUGUUGUGGUGCACUCAGAGACAAGCAACGUGGGAGCUGCUAAGCUCGGAAUACCCACAGGACAACAGGCGAUGUCAGCAAGCGUAAAGGAGGGAUGUAACACCAGGAGUCAGAACGCACAGGAAGCAACCCUUGCUCUGUGGUGAGCGCCCACGCUUGUCCUGAGCCGGUUUCCCUUCUGCAUCCACCAAGUGCGCUCUGACUACAAAUCCAGGACAGGUGGAUCCCUACAGCAAAGCUUCUUGUAUCUCAUUGCUCUAACUAGAUAAACGCGCCCUCUAGGCAGAGAGUCUUUUUCCAAGCGAGCGACCUUCUGGACUCCUGACGCAACAAGCUGACUCUAGGAGGAGGCUGGUAGGAAUCCCUAAUUCGGCAAGUGUGACGUUAAGAUGUACACGUGACUUCCCAGACACGCGUACGCACUCACGCAGGAACCAGGGCAGCAUCAGCCCGCCACCUUCUUCCGGGAAAGAAACAGCAGCUUUCCUAGAAAAGACACUAGGGCGUCCCCAUAGGUCCAUUCUGGAAGCCCUGAGGCCACUCAAGUCCCAUCAGCAUUCCCAAGGGAACACGGCCUUGAAGACUUUUGCAGGGAGGCCUGAGCGGAGACAAUUGCGGACAUCCCAGGAAGGAGACCUGCACCCGCCCUGCAUUGCGAGCACUCUGCCACCAAGACUGCCAAUCAGAGCGCCAGCCAAUGUGAGCUGCGGACGGUUGUCAUGGGAACAGGAUCAGACAGUCUCUUAGGGUUUGAGUCUGCCUGUGCCUAGCCCCUGGGAUCUCAUCGCCCAACAACUUACAUUGUUGCCACACCAACCCCAGUAGAAUCUGUGUGACAAGUUCCACAAACUGAGGCUAAAGCUUCAAAAGAAGGAGGCUUCCUGGAACCAGUUGUGGAAUUCUUGGCCGGAGCAAAAUAUUGAGCCGUAGUUCUCAUGGCAAUUUAUCUGUUUUAUCUUCUUCUAUUCCUUUCUUAUUUACAAGAUGCUCCUGAUAGCCUAGGAUGAGAUUUUAAUCGAGAAACUGGAUAAGAAACCAUCCCUUGAGAUGGGGUCACUAGCCAUGACCUUAUCUCCCAGAAAACAUAAAUCAUUUACAAAAUUACAAAAUAGUAUUAUGAUAGAUUCAAAACUUUCCCAACAACAAAAUUUCACGUGGCUACGUGUGUGUUGUCAGAAGUGGGCUUUGGUAUAUGGUAAAGAAAGACUUAAAUAAAAAAGAAUUAAAAUAGAAUUUAAAAUUCACACCUUGAAGAUUCACAAAAAAAAAAAAAAUCAGGUACUAGAUGUUAAAUAAUAACUGACCAUAAAAUGUAUUAACCCGCUCUUGGAAAUAUGCCAUUAGCCUCGGAUGAUUUUGUGCUUUGCUGUGCCAAAUAACAAUGAUGUUAUCUGUCCAAUCCGUGAUUGCCCCACUAAACACAUCUUCUAAGAGUUGUAAUACUUAUUUCAUUAUGCAUAAAAAUCCUUGCUUGAGAGCUAAAAAAUACACUCAGAUUCAAACUG